UGAAACAUGGUGUAUAACUGACAAUCUAAAUAGAUUUGUGUUUUGUGCUAGAAGAUAAAUCAUAAUGAUGUUAAUUUUAUUGCUUUUGUUGUAAUAGUAUGGAUUGUUGACAAGUAUUGCUGACUACCAAGAUUGCCAAGAUUUCUUAAAGGGAAAAUUUGCAAAUAUAUACCGAUGUACUGUCAAAAAGACGAAGAAAAAAGUGCUACUUAAAGAUUACGAAGAUAUUCAUUUCACAGAUGUAAUAAAUGAAUCCAACAUACUGCAUGGAUUUAAUUCAACUAAACACAAAAAUGUUAACAUCGUACAAACGUAUGGCAUAGUAGCAGGAGAGACAUUUGAUUCAAUGUUUCUCUUGAUGGAAGAUUAUGAAUGUUCUCUAGCUCAUAUUAUAAAUGAAUCCAAAAGUGAUGAAAUAUGUAAUAAAUCUAAGGUUGAAACAAGAUGUCCUUUUUUAUACAUUGAUGGGAAAAAGGUA
Molecule: long non-coding RNA, 478 nt
Organism: Stegodyphus dumicola
Lineage: Eukaryota; Metazoa; Arthropoda; Arachnida; Araneae; Eresidae
Source: RefSeq, a predicted model, not a curated record